AAGUCGUAACAAGGUUUCCGUAGGUGAACCUGCGGAAGGAUCAUUAUCACGUAUCCACGUAUAAACCAAUUCGUGAACUGUUUACCCCACCUCUGGGCUAUGGCCGCUGUCAUUUGGACACAUGAGUUCAUUGUAUGAUUAUGGACUCGUCCUUGACAAUUAAGGCUGUUUCUUCAGAGCGUAUUAAUCAUACUUUAUAAUCAAUUAACCACUUGAACACUAUGAAAUUUUCUUUGUUUGAACUGAUUUGUUUCUUACUCAGCGCUGAUAAAACGGCGCCGAGAAGAAAUCGAUUUACGAAACAAAAAAGAACAACUCUUAGCAACGGAUAUCUUGGUUCUC
Molecule: unclassified non-coding RNA, 342 nt
Filed under: fungal sp.
Lineage: Eukaryota; Fungi
Description: partial internal transcribed spacer region
Rfam family: Eukaryotic small subunit ribosomal RNA (bases 1-46)
Source: RNAcentral